UACGUAGGGUGCAAGCGUUGUCCGGAAUUAUUGGGCGUAAAGAGCUCGUAGGCGGUUUGUUGCGUCGGCUGUGAAAUCCCGAGGCUCAACCUCGGGUCUGCAGUCGAUACGAGCAAACUAGAGUGUUGCAGGGGAGACUGGAAUUCCUGGUGUAGCGGUGAAAUGCGCAGAUAUCAGGAGGAACACCGGUGGCGAAGGCGGGUCUCUGGGCAGUUCCUGACGCUGAGGCGCGAAGGCCAGGGGAGCAAACGGG
This 253-nucleotide ribosomal RNA is filed under the name uncultured bacterium. RNAcentral describes it as "partial 16S ribosomal RNA". It matches the Rfam family "Bacterial small subunit ribosomal RNA", at positions 524 to 776 of the family's 1533-position model. The record is from RNAcentral.